AGACGAAAAGAAAAUUCCUUGGCUCAACAUAAUAGCAGCAUUUCGUGUUUGUCUCGUACUUCAAACAAUUUUCCCAAAAUGUGACCUCUUGUCUGUUCUGUGCAUCUGUAGCAUGCAUGAACCAAGUGGAAGGAAAGUAGGUCAUUUGAUAUGUAUACCAUACGAGUGAGUUUGAGACCUGUAUCUGCUGUCUUGUGAUAUUUUCCUCACGGUGAGGCUACUAAAUAAACCCAAGCAGCACAAAGGACUGGGAUUCGGCUGGGAACGUAACGGGGAUGAUGGGUUCGAGGUGGCCGAUAUCGCCGUCACGAGCCCGACUGCUUCCCGACUAUGUGAGGGGGAAGAAUUGAGGGAGAGGGAAACUACAUAAAAUUAUUUCCCGAUAGAUCCCCGUUCGUGUCCCGGUCAGAAUUCUUUCCCGAUAGAUUCCCGUUUGCGUCCCGGCCAGGAUUCUUUCCCGAUGGAUCCCCGUUAACGUCCCGAUCUGCUGUGGUGUACUGGCUAAGUAUUUCUUCCCGCUCGUCUCCCGAUGUUUAUGCAGAUUCGGUAACACGUGAUCGGAUGGUACAGCUCGAGACAAAGUUUCUGAAACACGGGUUUUCUGUAUUGGACUUUUCCCAGCCACCUUUGGGAAAUGCUUGUUGAGCAGAAUCCUUGGGGAUUCUGUUCAACAAGUGUUCCCCUUAGGCCGCAGGGGAGGCGUAGAGAAGUGAAAUACAAAACACCCGUGUUUCAGAAACUUUUGUCCCAAGCUGUACGAGACAGUGAAGCAUCCCUUCAGGAAGGAAUUUGGCUGUCUGGUAUGAGGUAACUCUUUCAAACAUUGGGCUGCAGUUCACUUCAUGUGUUGUGUUGUGUUGUGUUGUAUGACGGAAAACAUGCACACGCAGCACCCUGAACAGAAGUAUUAAUGGAGCCUCACUGCAAAGCACGCAAGUACAAGAUACUCGGGAAGAGUCGGCCACGCCCGAACGAAACGACCGAAUCUCCCGAAUCGAAAAACUCACGUGAAACGAAACGAAGAGAGCUUUAGCAAGUCGAACUGAUCGGACGAAAACCGCUGCACCGAAACCCGCAAAGACUACGCUGGAGCUCCCUGCAUUUGGGCUACCGCGACUGCCAUCGCCAUCAUCUUUGUUUUGGUUGUCAUUGCUGGGUGCAAAUGGCCGGCGUGUGUGUUCUUAAUGUUUCUGAGCAACAAGUUUUGCAAAGUUUGGUUCGGAGGGAGUAUGGAACGCCGUUUUGUGGUCAACGUGGCCAGAGUGCCUCAAAAGUACUCCUGCCGCAUUCUGGUCACUGUUAUAAAUGUGAAUCCCUGCCACCAUCAGCAGCUUUUAAGUAGAUUCAUGGCACAUGAGGAACCUGCGAUGUACACCAUCGCACACAGUCAAGAAAAAUGUAGCAUUUAACCUUGCUUUCCUUCAUUAUAACAAACAAAAAAAAAAAGAAAGAAAGAAAGAACACUAGAGAAAGGGUCGGCAAAACAGUGAGUGUUUUGUUGUUUUUGAUUCUAUUGAUCUCUCACUGUCAGGUUGCACUGCCGAUCUGUUCACAAUCAUAACUAACUAAUACCUUAGCUUUGGCCAAUCUCAUGUUGCAAUUUUGCUUCAAACACAACAUUCAGGGAUUCUUAUGAAAACAGCAGCAUUUCUGAAAGAUCCUGGAACGGCCACAAUCUCAAGAGGUAGUACGAUUCUACCCGUCGUCAUAUUUCGUCCGCCAAGCCAUUGCGCGGAGAUGUUGGCUCCAUGCCCAUUUCAACACAGGCUCACCCGCGCUCGCUCGCGCGUCGUCGCUUGUCUUCCAUGCCACCAGCCAGCGCUGCGCGCUGCCUGUCGCGCAUGCGCUGUUCUUGUUGGCUUCGCUUUGGCUGCUGUAACGGUCGUUUCUCGUCGCCGCGUGUAGUUCGCGUAAUUGUGAGCGUUCCAGCAAGUCUAAAUAAAGCGUUUUAGAGGCUUUGUAUUGUUGUUCUCACCUGGUGCUGUCGUUCUUGCAACCCGUCUGAUAUUGCAACUGUCUGUAAGUGGAAGCGUUUCUUCUAACCGCGAGCAAACCAGUCGGUCUCGUUUGACAUGUCAAAGAGUGAAGACGCUACCUUGCAUGUGAAGCCAAAUCGUUCUUCGCCUUCAGGAUUAUUGCCGUUUCAGGGAUCUGCGCAACGACAGGGAGAUAGAACGCCAAGUGAAGUCGACUGUGUACUUUGUGCAGACGGUUCAGCGUGUAUGACGCAGCGGCCUUCAGCAAGAGAAACUCAAGCACCGUGUUCAAAUGCAGUGGGGACUCUUGCUGGCCAUGACAACGCUUAGAAGUGCUUUUUCGGAAGAAGGACAAGUUGGACCGGAAAUGAGGACCUAGGUGUGCUCUUUUGCGCUGUUGUUCACCGUUCGAUCAUUACCAGUUUUUGUGCCCCCGUGAGUUCAACGCUUAGGUAUGUUGAUGAUAAAUGGAUAUGCGUUAAAAGGUACGUACUCCGGAGUGGUGAAUUGUUCUGGUGAAGUGAUUCGUUGCUGCUAUCUCCUGUUUCGUGAGGGUUCUUGUCGGUACUCAUAUACCGCAGGCAUGAGGGGCUUUCUUUGCAGAACAUUUCAGUAAACCAAGACUGCAGCAUUUUCAAGAUUGCCAUAACCAGCAUCAAUGCAGCUCUCAUGUCAACAUCAGCAUCAAGACAGCUCUGAUAGACCAACUCUUACUGUGUACGUUCCCCCCCCCUUUUGAGACACCAUUGAAGGGCCAGUGGUUACGCAGGCAGGCUGGAUAUUACGGUAGACCAUUUCCACCCUUUUCUUUUCAGGCUACAUUGGCAAUGACAGUAGUUAUGCGGACAUGCUGCAUAUUUCUGUAUACCCCUCUUUUUUUGUUUUUCAUUUCAGACACAAUUGGCAUGCAUUGGAUGAUGCAGGCAGACUGCUUAGUGUACACCACUCGUCGUUUAGUCUAUUGAGGUGCUCCAAGUGUUGUGUCAGUCUAUUUCCUCUCCGAAAAUAAAAUGUUGGGCUCUACA
Molecule: long non-coding RNA, 3001 nt
Organism: Ornithodoros turicata
Lineage: Eukaryota; Metazoa; Arthropoda; Arachnida; Ixodida; Argasidae
Exons: 4
Source: RefSeq, a predicted model, not a curated record